AUAUUAAUAGUUACACAAAUAACUCUGUAUAUGAAAGAUAGAUAAAUAGAUAGACAGAUAGAUAGAUGCAUAGGGAAUCGACCAUUGGUUUAAUGGUGUGUGUCUCAUCCAGACCCGUUAGUGUAUGUCUAAGAUUGAGAUUUUAAUAAGGCAAUAAUUAUACAUGUCUCAGCGCAAAAAAUAUAUUUUAUUUGAGGAUACAAGAGUUGACUUUCAUGCAAGGUUUUCCCAGACGUUUAUUUAAAUGCAUAUUUAGGCCUAUCAUAAUAAUAAUAAUAAUGCAACAUUCUGGUAUACUUUUUUCCAGAAGAAAAGCCAUGUUUGAAUGUAAAAAUGUAAAUGUUGCGGUGAAGGUUGGGAAGCCUCUAUGCUGAGCACACACUGCAGCCUCUGGAAAAUAAUUACAAUACCAUAAAAAAGACUUUUUCGGCUAAUUGGAGCCCGCAGGGAGUGAUUACAAAUGACUCAUUUGUCACUGUUGUAGGGUAUGAAAUUUGCUCUGCAAUGAUGCAGUGAGCUGCCUGCCCUGACAAUGGGCCUAAAGAAAAGGGAGCCGAGUGCAGCAGAUACGAUCUGAAUGGAACCCCUCCAGUAUUCAGCGGGCAGCACUGGCUUCUCCCAGUCAGCCCAAUCGCCAGUAAUGAGAUAAAUGCGUUUCAUCAGUUUCUGGCCCUGAAUAUACACGGGGCUCAGCCACAGAGCUGACUCUCCAGUCAGGGAAGGUUGGGAACAGUUGGGAAAAGUUCCAGGCAGGAUUUGAACUAAGCGAUAAAGCCAACAAAUCUAUCAGAUCUGGGGAUUAGCCCAACACACCGACUCACCCCUGUCUCUGCAUACAAACAUCGCUCUGCCCCUCUCAGCUAAAUGGCAAAUAUUGGGUUAUGUGUUCCACUGCAAUACCUGCAUGGAAAUACCCCAACCAUGCAUGGAAAUACCCCAACAGCCAGGGGCAGGCACAGGGGGCAUCUGUACAUUAAAGGUACCAGCAUCAAUUCAUAUUAGGUUCAUUAUGGAUUGUCUCAUACAGGUAUCUCCCUCUUGCAUUCGCCUACUAGCAGGGUUGCUUUGUCCCUAUUGCCCAGCCAGGUAUAACAAUAUAUACAUAUAUAAUUCUCUCAGUAUAUGGUGUUAUUAUAUUCUGAUGUCAUGUGCAAAUAUUUAUUUGGGAAGAAAUAGAUCUAAAUCGAUCUCCUCUCAUUACUUAUUGAGUGUACCAAGAAAUGUGUAUAAAUGUAGGUAUGUAUGUGUGUGUGUAUAUGUGUGUGUGUAUAUGUGUGUGUGUGUAUAUGUGUGUGUGUCUGUGUGUGUGUGGAAUUUGGUUUGAUAAGCGAUUCUGUGUAUGUGGAAGGGUAUUGGUGGCUCCCAGGUACCUCAGUUCUUUCACUGGGAGAAUAAGUUUGAGGUUAUAGGGACAUUUCAGCUCUGUAUAUGAUGUAUGAGGCCUCGCUUGGUUGUAUGUGGUACCCAUAUAUAUAUAUCACUGGGGCACUAAAAAGGCACUUAUAUCUUUAUAUAACCUUUAUUAUUUCUGUUUGAAGAAAACUUUUUGAGGCCUCAAUGGACAGAAGGGAACAUCGCCAUGCUUCUUUCCCAAUGUUAGGAGCAACAUAGCCAAAUGAAUAGCUACAAUGUGGAUUUGCCCAAAUGAAAGGGCCUAGGGUAUGAGCAGCUGCACUGCCGCACAUGUAGGCGCACAGGUCCUUAGUAUCAUGUGCAGACGGGUUUGGAGAGGUGAAGGUGCAGGGCCAUGAGGUUUAGGACUGGCUGCCACUGACUUACUGGGCUUGACAGACUUGCCCUAGAGGGCGGAGCCCCCGAACAUACCUCCAGCAAGGACCUUCCCUCUCAAACACCGCAGCCUCCCUCAAAAACACCGCAUCCCUCAAACAGAUGGGACCUUCACCUACAAAUCUGCCAACGGCUUGGGCUCAGACUCGCAAUGAAGUUUGGAGCCUCUCGCUUCCCAGAAGCAGCAUCUCCCACUGCACCCAAUCUGUGCGAUUUCCUCUUCGACUUUGUUAUGAGAAUAGACGGAAGAGGGCGCUCGGCGGCAGAGAUUUCUGAAGGCGAGCCUCCAUAGCCGACGUAUGUGCAGCUGAUGACAGCCCAAGGUGUGACUUCCCAGGGAGACUGCUGAAUGGGAGCCCAGCAGAAUACAGACAUUCUUCUGCAAGAAUCCGUGUGCCCUUGUAUGGAGGGAGAAUGGGAGACAAACAAGCCCGAGUUGGUUGCCUGGGGUCUAAACAUUAGUUUUUCUCCUCUGGAAGAGAAAAACCUUCUUUGUCCAACCUGUUAGUGCUUUUGUUCUGAGGAUAAAGGCUAAAGACAACUUGCACAGCCUGAGCUGGGAACUCUGCCUUAAAUCCGGACCUGACACUAUUCACAGGCUCUUGACGAGGACAAAAAAGGGGAAAUUAGGCCUAAAAUCUCCCAGGCAGAUGUCUAGGGUUAAAACAGGUUAUUUGUUAAUUGCUUUUGUGUUUUUAAGGGGAGGGAAUUAAGAGCCCAAGGAAGAGACCUGUUAGGAAAAUGAUAAAAUACAAAAAGUUUGCUCUCCACAUGCUAUGUGAUUCAUUGCAGGGUGAUUCAUAUUUUCAUCCAUUAAUAUGGAUGAGUUAAAUGAAGCACAAGCUGCACUCUGUCUGCCUACUGAUGUUAAUGGGAUGAUGUGUGGGACUGUCUCAAUGGCUGUGGCUCCCUCAGAAGCAGCACGAGAGAAACACAGAAAUCACUGGAUGUUCAUAUUGAGCAAAACACCACCAGCAUCCAAAAUAUAAAGCCCUCAUUAUACAUAUCUAUCUAUCUAUCUAUCUAUCUAUCUAUCUAUCUAUCUAUCUAUCUAUCUAUCUAUCUAUCUAUCUAUC
Long non-coding RNA from Xenopus tropicalis (tropical clawed frog), 2864 nucleotides. RefSeq lists it as uncharacterized. The record is from RefSeq and is a predicted model, not a curated record. The transcript is spliced from 4 exons. NCBI's taxonomy places the organism in Eukaryota, Metazoa, Chordata, Amphibia, Anura, Pipidae.